UAGAGUGUUCAAAGCAGGCAGAUCCAAUUUUCUGCCACCGAAUACAUUAGCAUGGGAUAAUGGAAUAGGACCCUGUCCUCCUAUUUUCAGUUGGUUUUGGCAGCGCGAGGACUAGGGUAAUGAUUAAUAGGGAUAGUUGGGGGCAUUAAUAUUUAAUUGUCAGAGGUGAAAUUCUUGGAUUUAUGAAAGAUUAACUUCUGCGAAAGCAUCUGCCAAGGAUGUUUUCAUUAAUCAAGAACGAAAGUUAGGGGAUCGAAGACGAUCAGAUACCGUCGUAGUCUUAACCAUAAACGAUGCCGACCAGCGAUUAGGAGACGUUGAAUACAAAACACCACCAUCGGUGCGGUCGUCCUUGGCGUCUCGGUCCUUCACGGGGCCGGGGCGCGGGGGCGGCUUAGCCCGGUGGCACCGGUGAAUGACUCCCCUAGCAGC
This 432-nucleotide ribosomal RNA is filed under the name Acanthamoeba genotype T4. RNAcentral's name for it is "SSU rRNA". It matches the Rfam family "Eukaryotic small subunit ribosomal RNA", at positions 767 to 1087 of the family's 1831-position model. Lineage: Eukaryota; Discosea; Longamoebia; Acanthamoebidae. The record is from RNAcentral.